AUUUGGAUGUGUCCCGAUUUGUGACAAUUACGGACAGGGCCGAUCUGAAUGUCUUGGCUGACGCCUUUGUGCACCGGAGGCAUUUCACCUUGGGCGUUGUCGGUAUCUGUGGCCGGGACGGCCUUUGUGGGGUACAGUCGGGUCAGGGUCCACGGCUCACUUUUCCGCACCCACACAGCGGGCACUGAGCGUGGCCUGCGGAUCCGGCUUCUGCCUGCGUGUGACCAGGUGACGUGCGCGAGGCCUCGGAACCGCUCUCCCCAGCACAGAACGCUCUGCCGUCAGAAAAUGGCCAAGAAUCCGGAAUUCCACGGAAGCAGAGCGGGGAGCGGGGAGAUGGGCGUAGAAACACGUGUUCGCAGCCAAGAGCACACAGCUGUUUCCUCUUGUGGCUUCCCCAGCCUCAGAUGAUUUGUUUUAUUAGAGGCGAGUUGGGUUCGCUACCGACUGACGGCGCUGGCGGCCCCGGGAGGCAGAUGACCGACAGCGCAUCGCGGCGCUGACCCAGCGCCACGUGUGUGCCCGACGUUCGCCCACGGCUGUCGCUUGAUGCCCGUGCCCUGAAUACCCUCGGAUUCACACGGAAGCCCUGCAGGCAGUGUGCACGCCCUUGCUAAUUUUACCUGAUGAAUUUACGAGGUGAUGUUGUUAUCCACCCAUUUCGCAGAUGAAAAACUGAGGCUCAGAGAAGGUGAGUCACUGGCCCCACAUCUCAGACCCAGUGCGUCUUUGACUCUGAGAAGAGCUGUUAGUGGUCUGCUGAACGCGGCCUGCACUGGGUGCCCUUGUGGUGGGAGAGGGGCCGGGAGCCUUCCUCUGACUGUGAUGAGCCCCUCCCCGGACCCCCUUUUCCUCUGCCUCUGCUGGAGGAGGAGGCCGAACCCCACCCCCUGGCCCACGUGGACCGAAGGCCGCACGCCCACGUUCCCCGCGGAGCCGGGACAUCGGAGGAGGCCCGGUCGGUCCACCCUGACCCCUUCGGGACUGCUCUCGGCCUCACUCUCCUUAUCCAGGCCGACCGUGGUGCUGGGUCAGAGAUGGCCCCCAGCCCCUCCUGUGACGGGCGGGGGGGGGGGGGGACCCGACUUGGAGCCCCACCAGCUUCAUCUCUGCACAGGCAAGGGCCUCCUCCCUCGUCCUGGCCCUUCCCUGCCCCCAGAAAGCCUGAGAGACCAUCCUGGUCAGGCCAUCUGUUUCCUGCCCCUUCGGGAAGGCCGUCCCGCCCAGGCCUUGGCAGCAGAAAUCCCGCAUCUCCUGUCCCCACGCCCCUCCGUGCCCGGGGUCCUGGCCCUGGGAUGGCUGGCUUAGUGCGACCACGGCCCGGCUGCCUGUUGGGCUCCCGCAGCCCCUCCGGCGGGGCCUCCGCCCUUUUGGCGUCCGUCUCCUGCCCCUGCCCUCCUGGCCCAUUGUCUUUCCCCAGAAGCAGGGUGUGGGGCAGUCCGGGAGCCCGGGACCAUUCCUUUUCCUGCUGUGGAGCCAGUGACAAUGAUGGCCCACACCCCGCCCCUGUGCACAGGGGCCACGAGCUUUCCCUCCCCGGGGGUCUCAGCCCGUACUCGGAGGAGGGGCCCCAUGCAGAGCUUCCCUCAGACCCAGGCCUCGUGCCCCCAGUCCGGAAGUGGCUCCUCUUGGGCAACAUUCCGAACAUCGGUUUGCAAGGACUUUCCCUUCAGCGGUGAAAAGCCCUCACCUGGGCUAAGCUCCAGAUUCAGAACCCCUCUUGGGGCAAAGCAGGGAACCUCUCGGUGCUACCUGAAGACUGUGCAUGGACGCUGCCAGCCUCUGACCCGGCUCCUGCUCUCGACACAGCGGGCUUGGAUCUAUAAGCUGUGUGGUUCUGUUCUCCUCGGGAGGCCGCGUUCCUGCAUUCAUCCUGCAGACACCUACUGGGACGUGGACCUGCUCGGCCCGGGAACAGACAGGGGCACUGCCCGAACCCACAAUGAGCCUGGGCCCGCGGGCAUCUGAUCCCAGCCCAACAAACAACCAGCGCGGAAAUGGGGACGCAGGUUGCUUGAGGCCGUGUCUGCUGGGCUGAGUGAAGGGAGCGCAGACGUGAACGAGGCCACGGUGGCCGGGGUGGGGGCGCGUGGCCACGGACUGGGUCAGCACAGGCCAACAGAGCUGCUCGUGAUGAUGGAUGUCGCACAUCCACGCUGUGACCCAAGAGCCCUGGAAACCGGCUUUCUAGUUGCCCUGAUUUGUAAUUACCUUAAAUUUCACUAGGAUCGCACGGCCAGCAGCUGUUGUGUUGGGCAGCACCGUCCUAGGCAGGGAUGGCCGCGUGCCUGUCCCCUGGGGCUGGAGGCCGCUCACGUGUCUGAAAAGCCAGAGGAGGACAGUCAGAGGCACAGCGGGCAGCGAGGUGCAAGAGGGUGGUUCUUUUUGAUUCUAGAUGACGCGUUUCCGGUUUUUUUCAGCCCCGGGAGCUGCGGGUCAGUUGUAGUAUGCAAUCCCGAGUGAGGACGAGAGUUGCCCUGCCGACCCUGGGCUUGCACUCUUGCUCCCCUUAGCGGAGGACGUCAGGGGGAAGCUGCGAAGGGGCAGCUGCUCCUGAUGUCCCAGAAGGCAGGUGCGUUAGUGAGGCUCCCAGAGACACAAACCACUAGGUUCCUGCGAAUCCGCUCCAUCCAGACUUCCUGACUCAGUCCACCGAUCCCAGUGUUCACCUCAUCCAGAAACAUCCUCACGGACAUGCCCAGAGCGGUGCUUGACCCGAUGUCUGGGCCGCCUACGGCCAGUCAAGUUGACGCACAGAAUUACCCAUCAUAGCAGGUGCCUCGUUCCGCCCUAAACAUGCACAGGAUGCCGUGGGUGUUAGUCAAGGAGCCGUCUCUGUCCGCAGCCCCCGCGACCCAGGCCCUGGGUUUCAGCUCUGCAACUCCGCUUUGGCCGUGCCUGAUCCAGGAGAGACAACCAACCGGAGACACCACGUUCAGAGGCUACCUGGAGCCCUGUGGCCAGUGCAACCAGGCUUCCAGCAAUGAGCCGGACAAUCAGAACUUCUCUCUGUCACGGGGCUGGGACUCAGGAGCUUGAAGAAUCACUACCUGGCCUGUCUGUACCAUAGCCUCGUCUCUCCAGGGAGGAGGGCACCACUGACCAUCUCUGUUUGCCACAGAAUUAAGAGGAUGAGGACCGUUUUUGCCAGGGCUGUCUCCGGUAUUGGAAAGUCCCCUGGUGUCUUGCAUGGAGAUGGACAAAAUGUAGGCACACAGAAAAUACUCCUGAACAGACUGCAGGUUUCCACUGGAGAAGAAGAAAACUUCCUUCUCGAGAAGCCGACAGCCACCAGCCAGGGCAGAGCCUGCCUGCCAGCAGCCUGCAGGGCACCCCCCCCCCCCCCCGCCACCAUGCCUGAGGGCUUUCUAGACCCUGCAGCUCCUCUUUGGGGACGGUCUUCCCCCCAGCCUCUGGGGUCCCCAUCACCCUCUGCAAAUCGUGCUUCGUCUCCUACCACUUGUGACUCCACGUUCCCUCCCCCGGGUCUGUGCUCCACGGUCCCCAUGCCCGCGGGCCACCCUUCCCUCUGCCCAGUGAGCUCCUCACCAUCCUGCCAGGCUCCUGCGGAGACCUUCGGACUCUCAUCAGCAGGCAGCGGGGAGCAGGGGGAGGGUGUGGGCCCAGGAGAGGGAGGCGAUAGGAGUCAGAACCACCCCUGCUGGCCCCUCACGUGAUGACUCUUGGGGGGUGCUGGUCUGCCCCCUCCCUGUCGGGCCCCCACACCAGAGAGACCACCUCUGCUCUCCCCCCCCCGGGCUGGGCCCUCCCAGAGUUCCAAGGCCCGGGACCCGCUCCUCACACGGCCUCUGGCUCUCUGCUCGGCCGCGGUUCUUCCAUGGCCCCGGCAGCGAGUCAUGCCAUUGGGCGCCGAAAGCCUCCAUGACCUUCAAGUGAACGUUCACAUCUUAGCCCGAGACGUGCCAUUAUCUUCACUCUUUUAGCUUUACAUACUUUUCAGGGGUUGCUUGCCCUGGUGCCUCCCUCGUGUCCUACUGGGCUGUCCUUGUUUUCUCCACCUGUAAAACAGGCAAGUGCUGAUGCCCCCUGCCAGGCUCCAUGCAGGGCUCACUUCGAGGACUCACCCCGGCCUGGUCUCACGUACCUCGGGGUUGUCGCUUUCUGAGCUCUGACCUCCCCAAUCAGAGGGCUGGAACCCACCACCUUCAAAUGGAAACGGACCUUGGGGUUUGGACACUCAGGGCCAGUGCAGUCGAGGGCCCCCCGAGGGUCACCCAGCUGCCGGGCAGAGGGACGGCACAGUCGAGCUUCCUGCUGGAGGCCGUUCGCAGGCAUAAGGCAGACGGGCCUUGUCUCCCUGAAGUGAACAUCUCUGGUCGGCGUGACGAAUCUGGAGGCCAGACGAGACUGUCACUGCAGCUGGAUCCGUGUGUCCGCCUCCCUGUCCUGUCCGUGUCCCAGCCCCAUCACUGUACAUCCAGGCCCCCCCCCCCCACAGCGAAGGCUCGGUCCCCACCUGCCCCUCCGGCCAGCCUUAGCAUGUGGGGGUCGGGGCUAAAACAGAAGCCUGAAGCCCGAGUCGGGGUCAUUUGUUUCCAUGCCUUCCUGGUGCAGCAGAGCACGAGUCCCACAGCAGAACCAUGUCUCUUUCUGCCUGUGGGUCCUCAGCAGCUGGUGCAGACGUCCUUUGAGGCAGGCGUGGACGAGUGAAUGAAUGGGUGUGAGAAUGAGUGAAUGAUCAUCAAGAGACCUGAGAUCCUUCUGGUCUCAAGUGGCCAGGAAAUCAUCAUCAAACAGCCCAACGUGAGAGCAGGUGGGAAGUUGUAGGAACCAUACAGAUUCAGCGGAAAUGUGAGUGUGAGGGAGCCGUGACCUGAAGGGAGACUCGGAACAGAGUCCUGGCUUCCUGAGACAGGAGGGUCAUUGUGGAGGCCCCGGAGCUGCCCCAUCCCAGGAGGAGGCAGAGCCCCUGAGCGAGCAGCCCGGAGCCAGGCCUUCGUGGAGAAAGAAGGUGCUCCGGGCCCCGAGACCCCAGCAGAGGUGCCCCGGGAAAGUGUCCCGUUCCCGCGUCCGCUGUCUCGCUCGUGCCACCGUUCCUGUGUCUGGCAUCCACCCGUCACAGAGCCCAGGGCCCUCAAGCAUCAGGAAAACCCGGCUGGAACUAUUUCUUGGGUUUUGGAAAGUAUAUUCACAAUUGCGCUUGGGGACACAAGCAGAGUGCUUCCUCGGGAGCUGAAG
This is a long non-coding RNA of Herpailurus yagouaroundi (jaguarundi), 5199 nucleotides long. RefSeq lists it as uncharacterized. The transcript has 7 exons. The record is from RefSeq and is a predicted model, not a curated record. Lineage: Eukaryota; Metazoa; Chordata; Mammalia; Carnivora; Felidae.